Periophthalmus magnuspinnatus is the source of this 399-nucleotide long non-coding RNA. RefSeq lists it as uncharacterized. The record is from RefSeq and is a predicted model, not a curated record. NCBI's taxonomy places the organism in Eukaryota, Metazoa, Chordata, Actinopteri, Gobiiformes, Gobiidae. The transcript is spliced from 3 exons.
GUCAUGUACCUGCAGCAGACUCUAUACUCUGAAAGUAAAGUCUGUAGUUCCCAUGCAACGGGGACGAGCAUGAUUUAAAGGGGGGAGGGUGUAACCCGGGUGUUUUUCCGCUCCCCUUGGCCUUGGUGCACUGUCUCUUUAAAUGGGGCGCCACACCACGGCUCGCGAGUGUUGUGGGUCUCGGGAGUGUCUGAGCUGCUGCAGAUGCCUCCUGCUGUAUGACGAUGUGCUGAGAAUGACUAUUAAGCGGAACUGGCCAGGUUCCAGUAUUGGAUGGCGAGCUAGAAGGCCCCGAGCCUGGACAUAUUGAGUGCGCCCGUCCGCCGGUGCGGUAGGAGGCGCUGCAGCCACUCCCCACACACACCCACUUGCACACACGCACACUAACAACCUCCGCUG